GACGAACGCUGGCGGCGUGCUUAACACAUGCAAGUCGAACGGUGAAAGCGGAGCUUGCUCCGCUGGAUCAGUGGCGAACGGGUGAGUAACACGUGGGCAACCUGCCCCUCACUUCGGGAUAACUCCGGGAAACCGGGGCUAAUACCGGAUAUGACCUCCUUGGGCAUCCUUGGAGGUGGAAAGUUUUUCGGUGAGGGAUGGGCCCGCGGCCUAUCAGCUUGUUGGUGAGGUAGUGGCUCACCAAGGCGACGACGGGUAGCCGGCCUGAGAGGGCGGACGGCCACACGGGGACGGAGAAGCGGCCCAGGGUCCUACGGGGGGCAGAGGUGGGAAAUAGUGCGUGAUGGGCGAGAGGCUGAGGCAACAUGGGCGGGUGCGGGAUGACGCACUUCGGGUUGUAGACCGCUUUCAGCAGGGAAGAGGCCGCAAGGUGACGGUACCUGCAGAAGAAGCAGCGGCUAAAUACGUGCCAGCCGCCGCAGUAA
RNAcentral lists this ribosomal RNA (485 nucleotides) under uncultured bacterium. RNAcentral's name for it is "partial 16S ribosomal RNA". It matches the Rfam family "Bacterial small subunit ribosomal RNA", at positions 28 to 523 of the family's 1533-position model. The record is from RNAcentral.